Molecule: non-coding RNA, 250 nt
Organism: Cyanistes caeruleus (blue tit)
Lineage: Eukaryota; Metazoa; Chordata; Aves; Passeriformes; Paridae
Source: RefSeq, a predicted model, not a curated record
UGAGACAGGUGAGAUAUGGACAGGUGAGAUAUGGACAGGUGAGACAUGGACAGGUGAGACAUGGACAGGUGAGAUACAGGUGAGACAGGUGAGACAUGGACAGGUGAGAUACAGGUGAGAUACAGGUGAGACAUGGACAGGUGAGACAUGGACAGGUGAGACAGGUGAGACACAGGUGAGACAUGGACAGGUGAGAUAUGGACAGGUGAGACAUGGACAGGUGAGAUACAGGUGAGACAUGGACAGGUGA